This 741-nucleotide long non-coding RNA is filed under the name Rattus norvegicus (Norway rat). Its description in RNAcentral is "long non-coding RNA NONRATT024854". The record is from RNAcentral. Lineage: Eukaryota; Metazoa; Chordata; Mammalia; Rodentia; Muridae.
GGGUUUGCCUUAGCUGGAUUUUGUAAAAUACAUUGCUGUUUUGGACCAUUUCCCAUGACUUCUGAUUAAGAGACUCCCCGUUCCUUUUCUCACAAUCACUGCCCAGGUCCCAGGUAUUUUUUCUGAAUUUACCUGUGGUUCUCUUUUCUUUCUGUCUUUGAAACAGGGCACCUUCGUGGCUGGAAAGUACAAGUGUCUUUUGUGUCAGAAAGAAUUUGUGUCAGAGAGUGGUGUCAAGUAUCACAUCAACUCCAUCCAUGCCGAGGAUUGGUUUGUUGUGAACCCGACGACCACGAAAAGCUUCGAGAAGCUGAUGAAGAUAAAGCGGCGGCAGCAGGAGGAGGAGAAGCAGCAGCAGCAGCACGGCAGGCGGCGCUCUCUGCGAAGGCAGCAACAGGCGCGCACGGAGCCUCCAGAGAGCCAGCCAGAGCCAAGGGCAGGGAAGGAGCAGAGCGGGAGUGAGGAGUUGGCGGGACCAGAGCCGGAGCCAGCGCCAGCACAGCCCCAGAAAGCUGAGCUCAGCAAGACCACUCACAAACGAGGGAGGAAAUAGGCAGCCGCUGAUGGUGCUUGGAGGAGAGUGGAUGCGGUGCAGCUGGCGUGGGGACACAUGCAGGCGAGGCCUGAGUCGUGGGGCUGGUGAAGAUGCUUUCAGCUACUGCUGCUGGGCGGUGGCUCUCAGCUCCUCUGUAAAUUUCAUGGUCUUCCUGACUCGUUCACUUUCUCCCCUCCCUGCCUUAG